Long non-coding RNA from Gallus gallus (chicken), 1505 nucleotides. Lineage: Eukaryota; Metazoa; Chordata; Aves; Galliformes; Phasianidae. The record is from Ensembl.
AAGUUCGAGGGCUCAGAUCGUUGUGGUGUGUUCUGGUAGAAAGAGCUAAGGAAGUUAAGGUGUAAAAGUUUCUCCAAGAAGAGGACAAGAGCUUAAGAACAUGCUUAAGAAUCAUGCUGACCCUGCGAUGGGCCUUCAUGGAGCUUGGAGGAGCUGGUGUGACUUGGAUGGCAGCAGCGUGUGCUGUUCUGCUGUACGAGAAAUCCUGUCUUGAAAGAAGGAGAUGUCAGAGCUGCCCUUGGCAUGAAGCUGCUGCGUGUCCAGAAGGAGGGGUGCGCAGUUUGAGCUGCCUAAAAGAGGACAAAAGUUUGCCCCUCCAUAGGACUUCUGACCUCUAAAACUGUGCACUUCAAAGCACCCCAAACUGGCCAGCUGCAAUCAGAGAUACUCAAAAUCGUCAGUCACUUUUGAAAACAUGGGAAGCAAGUUUCAGGCUUAUCAGUAACUCCAUUCAUUGGACUUCUUUAGAAAGCAAAAUUGCUCCUGGAAAUGCUAAUCAGGAAAUAGAGAAAUAACAGCCCUUGAGAGAUCUCCUCUGAGAGGAACUUUGACUCACCAGACGGAGAGAGAAAUCAGAGCAGCUGUAUGAGUUCUUUGCAUAUACUGUGUGUGCCCUGAACUCUAUCAGAAACCCCAGAAGUGACAUGAAGUGGACAGUGCUGUUGUUACUAACGCUAUCUCAUUUUUGAUUUUUAAGCCAUCUGCAGCCAUGCUGGGAUCGUUCGCCAUAAGGCUCCCUGUAAUGCUAGCAGGUAGUCAGAUCUGAAUGUCUUACUUGAAAAUUACUUCAACUGCAAGGUGGGGAGGAGGAAUGAAAAAAGCUAAGAGAUAAAUAACUAUAAGAAAUACGGUUUGAGUCAGACCACCCAUUCAUCCAGGCUGGAUGUCUUUGGCUGCCACAAAAAGAUGUUGUCUAGGAGGAGCGUGACUCUAGCCACCUUCUGCAGCCCUUUCUGCUCAUGCUCCUCCAGCAUCCAUAAUCAUUGGAUUAAAAGUGUUAGAGGGUACAUUCCUUUGGUAGACCUGUUGGCCAUGAGCUUUUCUAAUCCCUUUAAAAUCUGCUCGCUCUGUCUGCCUCCACAGCUGCCUGUGGCAGCAAAUUCCAGAAGUUCACUAAUGGUAUUGCUUCACACAGUGUUGCAAACAGCUUUUCAGCAAGGCGACCUAACAUGCGUUGUAAAGUUUUCUAGCCACAUCUGAACAGGCUGUGUUGAACGUCUUUUGGGUUAAAAUAUUAUGAAGCUUUAAAAUAUACUGUACUGUGGAUCAGAGAAAUAUUACAGUCCUCUGAAAUCUCCAGGAUAUUAUGGUCUGAUUCUCCAAGUGAGCAUUGGUAUGUAAUGUGAACCGUGCUGAUAGUUUGUAGGAGGGCAGUAGGACUGUGUGUGAAGUCACUAAGGUUCUUCUUAGCUAGUUGAGGGACUGCUUAACUUCUGGAAGGAUUGUGGCCCCAACACUGACUGUGCUGUUGCAGCUACUUAGCAAAUAAAGAAACUCAAUGAGAA